This 28-nucleotide small RNA is filed under the name Bombyx mori (domestic silkworm). RNAcentral describes it as "ovarian small RNA-15043". The record is from RNAcentral. Lineage: Eukaryota; Metazoa; Arthropoda; Insecta; Lepidoptera; Bombycidae.
GAAACCAGCACGAGGUGCGCGUUGAACA